UACAGAGGUCUCAAGCGUUGUUCGGAAUCACUGGGCGUAAAGGGUGCGUAGGCGGCGCGUCAAGUCAGUUGUGAAAUCUUAAGGCUUAACCUUAAGCGGUCAACUGAUACUGUCGUGCUAGAGUGCAGAAGGGGCAAUCGGAAUUCUUGGUGUAGCGGUGAAAUGCGUAGAUAUCAAGAGGAACACCUGAGGUGAAGACGGGUUGCUGGGCUGACACUGACGCUGAGGCACGAAAGCUAGGGUAGCAAACGGG
Molecule: ribosomal RNA, 253 nt
Filed under: uncultured bacterium
Lineage: Bacteria
Description: partial 16S ribosomal RNA
Rfam family: Bacterial small subunit ribosomal RNA
Source: RNAcentral